Molecule: ribosomal RNA, 468 nt
Filed under: uncultured bacterium
Lineage: Bacteria
Description: partial 16S ribosomal RNA
Rfam family: Bacterial small subunit ribosomal RNA
Source: RNAcentral
GACGAACGCUGGCGGCGUUCUUAACACAUGCAAGUCGAACGGAAAGGCCCUGCUUUUGUGGUGUGCUCGAGUGGCGAACGGGUGAGUAACACGUGAGUAACCUGCCCUUGACUUUGGGAUAACUUCAGGAAACUGGGGCUAAUACCGGAUAGGAGCUCCAGCUGCAUGGUGGGGGUUGGAAAGUUUCGGCGGUUGGGGAGGGAGUCGCGGCUUAUCAGCUCGUUGGUGGGGCGGUGGCUUACCAAGGCUUUGACGGGUAGCCGGCCUGAGAGGGUGACCGGCCACAUUGGGACUGUGAUACGGCCCAGACUCCUGCGGGAGACAACGGUGCGUAAUAUGUUAGAAUUGGCGGUAUCCUUAUGCCGCAACGCCUCAUGGGUGAAGACGGCCAUCGCUUUAAAAUCCGCUUUCGCCUUUGACUAAGCGUGAGUAAAGGUAAUGGGUAAAGAAGCAACGGCUAACGACGUG